CUUUGCUGUCCUCACUCAGGGUGCCCAGGAGCUCUGGCAGGAGCUGGAGCAGGGAGGAGCUGCCCAACCUCUCCAGGUUUAACCUCGAGUCUUCAUCAGCUGCCAAGGCAAGAAACAGGCACAGGGUGACCCUAUGGAGUUCCAGUUGCUCUGACCUGCAGGGAUGGAUGUGACUGUAGCUCCUCACAUGGACAUGUAAGAAAACAAACUGAAAUAAUAUCCCAACAUUUCAAAACUUGCAUAAAGAUCAGGAAUUUGAAGACCUUGGAUGUGCCUGUUAUUGGUUUAUUCACUGCAUAAAAGGACAUUUGCAAAGGACAGAGAGGAUUUCAUUAUAGGACUCAAAAUAAGAAUACAAAAAAUUCCCAGUGCUGAGUGGAGACAAUCUGCAUCUCUGGCCAAGGAUUAUUCCUUAAAUCAGAGCACUGCUAGCAGGACUCUUUACAUUAGCAGGGAAGAUCUGAGCACAGUGACUUGAACCUAAUGCAAUCAUGGCUAGAGCCAGCUAUGAUGUGACAGAUAUUACUCAGAUAUUGAGUCAGGGGUACCUGGAAAUGCAAAUUACAUUGUGGAAGGCUUGAGGAGAUGCUGGCUUAGAGAGCCCAAGAUUUUCAGAGCAGACUGGGGACUGCUGAUACCUCUAAACCAGCAGAACAACUGCUGCA
Long non-coding RNA from Zonotrichia leucophrys gambelii, 665 nucleotides. RefSeq lists it as uncharacterized. Lineage: Eukaryota; Metazoa; Chordata; Aves; Passeriformes; Passerellidae. The record is from RefSeq and is a predicted model, not a curated record. The transcript has 3 exons.